This 625-nucleotide long non-coding RNA is filed under the name Brassica rapa (field mustard). RNAcentral describes it as "long non-coding RNA (BRAP_LNC004430)". Lineage: Eukaryota; Viridiplantae; Streptophyta; Magnoliopsida; Brassicales; Brassicaceae. The record is from RNAcentral.
GUCCAUUUUGAGAUUUCUUAUGGCCAUUUGUUGGUUUUGUUACGGGAGUAUACUUAUGUGUAUAAGACUAUACGAUGUUGGGUAAUUUUUUUUAUAAAAUUCUGUGGUGAAGGUGUAAAGUUUCUUUUUAAUUACCUAACGCAGGGGUAGUGAUUGGAUGUUCAUAUGUGGGAUUUUCAUAUGUAUUUGAGUUAUUAUUUGAACCAAUGUUUUUUUUUCUGCCUUGUUAUGCAUACAUUAAUUUUGAAGUUCUUGUCAUUAUCCAUUAAGCACCGACUUUAUGCCAUAAUUUUCAUUUGAUUUGGUGCUUGAAUUUUGAUGCAUAUAUAUCGUGUGUUUCUACUCUCUUUUUUUUUUUAGCUGGGUAGUAUUUAUUGUGUGGUUGAGAUUCUUUGGAAGCUUAACUUUUUAAUAUAUUACUACUUGGUUAUCAAUUUUAUUAAACGUAGUUAUAUUCGGUUUAAUUCUUGUACUAAUUUUUUUUUCAUUUACCGUUGAACUUAAAUAUCUUCUAGGCAAAAAAAAUGUUCUAGUCAUUCUGUAUUUUGAAUUAACCAACACAGACUAUAAUAAUUAUAAAAAUUUGAAGGUUAAGAACUAACAAUUUGUAUUUUGUGUAUGAAAG